Saimiri boliviensis boliviensis (Bolivian squirrel monkey) is the source of this 728-nucleotide long non-coding RNA. RefSeq lists it as uncharacterized. Lineage: Eukaryota; Metazoa; Chordata; Mammalia; Primates; Cebidae. The record is from RefSeq and is a predicted model, not a curated record.
GAAGGAGCUGCCAUCUACGGAACCCGAUCUCACUUCAUCUGCACCGAGCACGGUCUCAGGGAGCAUAGCGCGAUGUCUCACCAUCCGCCCAGUUUUCUGUGGGAUGUGUUAAUUUCAAGACGAAAGAUUAGAAACCUGUGGACCUGUUACUUUCAGAUACAAACAUUUUGAGCCAAGCCCUCUGGAAGAAACCCAGCUGCAUCUGGUCACCAGCGACUCGGAAGCCCAACGUGCAUGCAGCUUACAGAACAGCCACACGCGGUCCCACGUGUCAUGCUCUCCCUGGUCUUUCGGUUUUGGUGCUUUCCUUUAUUGGCUCCCUCCUGCAUGUCUUGAAGCAGCUCUGCUCUCUGGUUUCCCCAAGCAGAGCUCCCAAGAUCCUCAGACUCCUGCUGGAAAGGAGUUCCUGCCUUGGGUGUGCCUGAGUGUGCUGAGUUGAAAGGCAUUUUUUUUUUGAGGUGGGGAGCUGUGUGUGCACAACACAGCGAGGGAGUGACCCCGUCCAGGGAGCUGGCUCCCCUUAACAGAGCGUGCGGGGGAAUCAAGACCCAGGCUCUAUCAAAAUGAGGGCCGUUCGGCUCCAGAGGCCUCCCAGUGACCCCAACGUCAUUCCUCCGUGAUGGCUGAAGGCAGAAGAUAAGCUGGACUCCUGGAAGCCGACACCCCCAGGGAAAUUCCAUCACCUGCCGACACCCCCAGGGAAAUUCCAUCACCGGAGCACUGUAGAC